UUCCUACGGGAGGCAGCAGUGAGGAAUAUUGCACAAUGGAGGAAACUCUGAUGCAGCAACGCCGCGUGGAGGAUGACGCAUUUCGGUGUGUAAACUCCUUUUAAGAGGGAAGAUUAUGACGGUACCUCUUGAAUAAGCACCGGCUAACUCCGUGCCAGCAGCCGCGGUAAU
This 171-nucleotide ribosomal RNA is filed under the name uncultured Sulfuricurvum sp. Its description in RNAcentral is "partial 16S ribosomal RNA". It matches the Rfam family "Bacterial small subunit ribosomal RNA", at positions 336 to 524 of the family's 1533-position model. Lineage: Bacteria; Pseudomonadati; Campylobacterota; Epsilonproteobacteria; Campylobacterales; Sulfurimonadaceae. The record is from RNAcentral.